Molecule: long non-coding RNA, 6164 nt
Filed under: Sus scrofa (pig)
Lineage: Eukaryota; Metazoa; Chordata; Mammalia; Artiodactyla; Suidae
Description: lncRNA (ENSSSCG00000061696.1)
Source: RNAcentral
AAGGUUGUACCUGCAACCUCCACAGCACCAGCCAGCUCUCAACAAUACGAUCCUGUGCUUUAUGCCCAUAAACUGAUGGAAUUUUAUAAUCUUUCUCCCAUGUAUCUACUUCCCAUGUAUUUCUCAACAACUUCCCAUGUAUUUCUCAACAACUUAUAUUAGGUACCUCCUAAAAGCACAACAACUUAUAUUAGGUACCUCCUAAAAGCACAAGUAGUUCCUAUUUUUUUUGUUGUUGUUCUUUUAAAAUGAUUAACAAAGUAUACAUUUUAGGAAACCAGAAGAUUAAAAAAAAAACAUUGAAAUGCUUUUUCUGUGUUCAAAAUCAUCGCGUUAUAUUAAUCUUAACACACUGACUAUAGUCCUAUUUUGUGAGGUGAGCUAUUUUUAAUAGAACCAUGAGAGAUUUUGGAUACCUACCUUUAGGGAGCAAGUGACCCUUGGUUUUCUCUACAACCUGCAGUACGUUGCAGAAAUACAGUAUAUUGUCUGCACAUUUCUACUUAUUCCUGCAUCAAAAACUAUGGACAGUGAUAGCAUAUUUUUAUACAUUUUAAAAUGGAUCCUGCCUUAAUAAUAAUAUGAAAUACUAAGCAGAUAUGUUCUAAAUCUAUCUCACAAGAGAGUAUUGAGCAUCACAUAUUCCAUAUAUUGUAAUAAGUAGAAUAUAUAUUUUUGAGAAAGGUGAGCAAUGAUAUUUGUGUGACUUUCUUGAGAUCAAUAGUUAACUCUCAAGUUAUUUACUUUUUGUCGUAAAUAAAAAAUGACCAGAAUUAUGAGGUGAUUAUUGAAUCUUAAGGGACUUCAGUCCUAUGCAUGGGAAUAGUCUAAUUUCUCUUUAACUUUUCUGGUCAUGUUUUACAGGGAAUUAAGCAUACAUUGGUAAGAAAAACAUGAAACGUGUUCUUUUUGUGCAUGCAAAUAAUGAUAGGAAGUCAUUUCACUUGUCUUGGAGAAAUUUUUUACUCAGAAAAUAAAUGUUUAUCUAAAAUAUAUCAUAUUUAGAAACAGAAUGGAUAUAAAAGUAGCAAAUUUACAUUUGUAUAAAUUUUCCAUAUGAAGUCCCAGUAUUUACCUCUGUGGCACAUUGCUGGGGUGGCAGGAAACACUCACAGUCCAAAGGAGUGUUCAUUGAGACUUAUUAUCAACUAUAUAACCUACCUUAUUGUGAUAAAUCUUGCAUGAGAAUAUUAAUGACAAUAGGCACAUAUUGAUCAUCUGAUCCAACAUAUACUAGACGGAAGUUUUGCAUCUUUAACCAAGAAAAUUAUAAAUAUUUAAAAUGUAUCUACCGAGAAUUAUAUGAACCUGUAUUCUGAAUCAAAAACUAUACAACUGACAGCAUAAAUAUAUAUAAUAAAUAGAAAGGGUAUACUGGACCUUCUGAAAUCAAUCUCUAGCUACCCUUGGUUAAAGAACUAGUAUUGAUCAGAGUGUCUAAGGAUAUGACAUUAAUCCAAUCAAUAUUUGUUUUUGAUGUUCAAUUUUCUUAUAUUCUAUGAGGUUUUGUUUUCAUGCAAAGUAUUUUUCCUAGGACCUUUAUACUAAAUUUCAAUAGUUUUACAUACACUUGUUCCAAGCACAUUCUUAAAUAUCUAUUCUUAGCUUCUGAUUUCUAUAAAAAUCUCCAUUCCUCUCCACAAUAGUCUCUGGGAUUGUGGGGUAUUUGAACUCUUUCUCUUCCUACUUGUAGCUGUAACUCUUUGUCUUCUUUCUGGUCACUACACUGUAUUUAUUAUUUUCUAACUUGGAAGAAAUUCAGUGUCCUUUAGUGAAUAGAGAUGGAGUUUGGGGUUUAAAAUACUUUCUAUAGAAAGAAUUACUCUCCCUAUUGAAUAAACUAGCAUGAUCCCUCUAUUAUUUAGAUCAUUAUUUUUCUAUUAUAGCAAUAUUAAAUUUAAAUCACUCUGUGGUAACACACAAAUAACAAGAGCAUAUAUUUAAGAAAUGAAUGCUGUAGGCUUGCACCAGAUAAUAGCCCACUUGGGCUUUAGAGGACUUCACCAAGAAUAUUCCUCUGGACAUAUUCCUCCCCAUGGGACAAGGAAUUUACAAGGCCAAAGGGAUGGGGCUAAUUGGAGCUGAUGAAUCCACUUUAACCCCACCUUUUGGAUCAUGCUGUGGUACACUGAGACUUAGAAUUCUGUCCCCAAAUUUCCCCGAGACUCCUUCCAGAGCCCACAUUCCUCUCCUCCAGCCCUGUCUUUCAUGUGAGCUAUAUGUAUAUUAUGCAAAACUAGAGAACACAGUGGUCAAAAAGAAGCUUUUGCAGGAGUCAUUGAUGGUAGACUGAGCUUGGACAGGUUAACUGAACUCCUGUACACAAAGCCUCUUACGGGACGGUGUCCGGGGGCCAUCUUGCCACUUGUCAGCACAGUCUUGUGUAGACCUUUGAGGAUCCAAGCUUUUGUUAAGGGAAUUUUGUCAAAGUGGAAGAACAAAGCACAUUUUUUUAAAUAAUUUAACUUGAUUUAUAACUCUUAAAUAUUGAAAUGUGUAUUGUAUGGGUCCUGAUUAUUAUUCUUGCCCUGGGCUCUAAGAAUGUUCAACCUGAUUUAAAUAUUUUACAAGAUAUAAGAAAGUAAUUGCAUAUACUCACAAAUAGAAAUGUAAACCUCGACUAGCCUCUAUUUUUAAAAUACAGUGACAUCUUCCACUUAACAUCUUAUUUACAAUGGGAGCCCUUGUGAUAUCCUCAAAGAUUCAUUUACAGUUGCCCUAUUUAAGAUUCAUUUUCCUCAGGAGAAAAAAAAAAAAAUGUGUCCUGUUUGCAUAGCAAAGCUUUAUUUCUCAAAACUCCUAAGUUGUAAAAGUGGAGCAGAUAUGUCUUAUCCAUAUUGUUUUUAGUCUAGGUCAUAUUAAUAAGACAAAUUUUUGGUCAUAAGUUAGUUUUAUAAUUUUAGUUGGAUCUUAGAGCAGUUUAAUUGUUAAUCUAAUAUAUGCUACACACACACACACACACACACACACACAGAGUUAUUUCUAAUACAAACUUUAAGAAGUAGACUUGAUUCACCAGGAAUCAAAAUGGAAUCUGAGUGAUAACUUGAUAAUAUCUUUUUGAGUAUUAAUACUUGAGUAGGUGAACCCAGUUAAAAAUGUGCAAACCCUUAAAAGUGUUUCCUCUCUAAACAGUUUGAAUCUGUUUACGGAGAAUCAGGCUAGUAGUGUUUUGUACAUGGACUCCUGCAUACUUCUACUAAAGUAUAUCAACAUUUGCUAUUCAGAUGAUCUCACACACUAUUUAUCAAACCAGGACCUUAUUAUUAUUUUUUCAUUAUGUUGUAGUUAUAUCAUGCACUUUAUUAAGUAACAGAUGGAUACUUAGAUCUGGGGAAGAAAAUUCUGUUGAAAAAGCUUAAAGAUGUCUCUGAUACUCUCUUUCCCCCCAGCUAUGUAUCCAUAACUGUUAAAUUCAAAUCUAAUUUGGAACAACGAAGGUCCUUCCUUCAUAACCUUCCACAAGAGACUGAGAAUCAUAAUGAGACACAUUAAUGAAGCCCAGUUACCUUCUGAUAAUACCGUCAUUAACACUUAUUAUCACAUAAUUAGAUUGGACAUUGGCCAUCUCAGAGCCAAUUUAAAAGAAGGGAAAAAAACACUAUAUAUCAAGGAAAUAUAUGAGAAUAAAACACUGUGAGGGGUGUUUGAAUAACAAUAAAAUUUCAGAGAGAAUGAGACAUCUUAUCUUCCCUAUUAGCAGUUUGAAACAGUAGUAAUCAAAUCAAACUCUCCCCUAUCUUUUACUUGAGUUACUUGUUAAAUCUUCUACCAUCUCCACCUGGAGCAGUUAUCUCAGCAAUGACAUUUUUAGUGAUGGGAAAAAAGUCAUAAUAGCUGUGGGUAAUUGUGAGGUAGAAUCAACACAACUCUGAACUUUAUAGGUCACGAUAUCUCUGUAGCUUGUGGGUAAAAACUGCAGUUUGAAAUAGAUAACUGUGUCACCCUUAGCAUCUUCCCUUUUCCUAUUUUUUUUUCUUGUGUGCAAGUUUACAAAGGUCAGAUGUCAGUAUGAUCUAGAAUAAGAGCUUUUGUGGCUGACUUUGAAAGGUUACUUUAGAGAAAAUUUCAUGAAGCAGCAGUACCCCAAAGAGCUGCAGGGAAUGUGGCUAAAAUCAUAUUCCUUCCUAAAGGAGCUUCUAACACAUUAGCAGUAUAGAGUGUUGGAUUUGAGCAUGCAUCUGAGAGUUGGUCUCUAUUUACCAAAUAGAAAUAAAGAGGCAUCUGAAGGUCAUAUUUACACUUCUGAGGUCAUGUUCACAGGACAUCAAAACAACGCAAAAAUCAAUUCUACAUAAUGGCAAAAUUUCAAACACCUAUUUAAUGAUUCACUAGAAUAAUAAUUGUAAUGCAAAAUAUUUGUAAUAGUGAAGGGAAUGUCACAGGGCUCAUUUCUCUAUUGACUAUGAUACCACAUCAAGCCUUCCAAAAUCUAAAAAAAUUUUAUUGGCUGUUUGUCCCACAAAACCAUAAUUUCCCUAAUAUAUAUUUUCAGGAAAACAGUGAAGUUCAGAGUUCUGCCAGAAUUAGGUUAAGGAAAUAUUUUUAAUAUGCCUUUCAUUAAUGUAGUUGACAAUAUAAAUGGAUUGAAAAAGUGGGGACUACUAUAAAUAUCUGCCUAAAUCAAUCCCAGAUAUUUUAGCUGCAAAUGACUUAUCAUUAUUAUAAUUAAAGCAUUGUGAAGGUGCUUUGUUUGAAUGUGAUCAAAUGACAUAUAAUAGCUCACUUUUAAUAAAAAAAAUAUACUUUCAGUAAAGCACAGACUAGUUUUAUCUCUGAGACAGACUCAUAUUUUACAUUGUCAGUGCUAGAAAGGUGAUACAAUUGAUGUGUUUCUUUAUUUCUAUUUUGUUAUUAUUUUUUUAAGGUGGGGAAAGAUUCUGGCCUUGGGGAGGGAUAGGAGCUGGAUUGGGUAACCAAUGGUGUGUUUACUUUUAGGGCAUCAUGAUAAAAAUAAGAUACAUCCAUAAAAUUAAGUGUUCUGUCUUGAUAGUGUCAAAGAGACAUAGUCAGAAAGAGAGACAGACACACAGAGAGCAAUAUCUGGUAAACAUACAUACAUACAUACAUGCAAAAAUGUGGUCAGCCAGUAGAUUUCAUACAGGAAUUUGUAUGGGCUAGAUUUUUUUCUCUUUUCUCUUCUUCUUAUCUUCAUUGGGGAAAUAUUAAAUGCACAUCUCAACAGAAAUAUUAUUUUUUGACCAUUGUAGUAAAAACACUUGCAAUGCACUACACUACAAUGCACUGCACUACAGAGUGCAGUUCAGGUAUCAGUAUGUCUGAAAAUCUCACAUUUCUGUGUGUAUCUAUUUACUAUAGUAUCCAAAUUACAAUAAAUGUAUCAAUAUUCAAUGAGCAUUUUUUAACUGAAUUCUCUUUUGCAAGGCAUUUCUGAGAAUCCCUGCAUGAUAUCUGUACCAUCAUAUUGUCUAUCCAGGUGUUUGUAUAUUUCCUCUGCCAGAAAAUUUUAUUUUAUCGCUGCUGUAACAUGUUGGGGGUCAACACAUAUUUCCACAGAUCCACAGAUUGUGUUGCUUUCCCCCAUACCACCUUUUCACCAGAAUUGGCACAAGUCACUUCCAUCACUGAUAAGAAAUUAGCCUAGGUUUGACUGCAGUUUUUAACAAAACUUUUCUGGAGGCUUAAAAAAUAAGUAAAGUAUAAUACAGAAGGUGACUUCUCCUGGUAACAAAAGUGAUUACUCUUAAGGCUCAAAGGUCCAAGACAAAUACCAGCAUCCCUGGAAGUUUUCGUAUGUUUCAUAAGGUCUGCUUGAUUACAAUCCAUCAAUUUCUUUUUGGUUUGAAUUUUACUCGGAGUCCUCCAUUCACCAUAUCCUUAAUUUCUGUGUCUUGAUUCCCAAAGCAUAAAUAAUGAAGGGGAAAACUAGCACAACAUUGUAAAUCAACUAUCCUUAGAUAAGUAAAAAUUAAUGAGGGAGAGGAAUUCUCAUUGUGGCUCAGCAGUUAACAAACCUGACUAGCAUCCAUGAGGACAUGGCUUUGAUCCUUGGCCUUGCUCAGUGGAUUAAGGAUCUGGCAUUGCCAUGAGCUGUGGUGUAGGUCACAGACACAGCUCAGAUCUCGUGUUGCUGUGGCUGUGGCAUAGGCCAGCUGCUACAGCUCUGAUUCGACCCCCUAGCCUGGGAAUCUCCAUAUGCUGCA